AGGAUGAACGCUGGCGGCGUGCCUAAUACAUGCAAGUCGAGCGGUAACACCUAGGGUGACGAGCGGCGGACGGCUGAGUAACGCGUAGGAAUGUACCCCGAAGUGAGGGAUAAGCACCGGAAACGGUGUCUAAUACCGCAUAUUCUCUUAGGAGCAAAGCAGCAAUGCGCUUUGGGAACGGCCUGCGUCUGAUUAGCUUGUUGGUGAGGUAAAAGCUCACCAAGGCGACGAUCGGUAGCUGGUCUGAGAGGAUGAUCAGCCAGACUGGGACUGAGACACGGCCCAGACUCCUACGGGAGGCAGCAGUAGGGAAUUUUCCACAAUGGGCGAAAGCCUGAUGGAGCAACGCCGCGUGCAGGAUGAAGGCCUUCGGGCCGUAAACUGCUUUUGUUAGUGACGAUUAUGACGGUAGCUAACGAAUAAGGGUCUGCUAACUACGUGCCAGCAGCCGCGGUAA
This 457-nucleotide ribosomal RNA is filed under the name uncultured bacterium. RNAcentral's name for it is "SSU rRNA". It matches the Rfam family "Bacterial small subunit ribosomal RNA", at positions 26 to 523 of the family's 1533-position model. The record is from RNAcentral.